GGGGGAAUAGUGCACAAUGGGCGCAAGCCUGAUGCAGCCAUGCCGCGUGUGUGAAGAAGGCCUGCGGGUUGUAAAGCACUUUCAGCGGGGAGGAAGGCGAUAAGGUUAAUAACCUUGUCGAUUGACGUUACCCGCAGAAGAAGCACCGGCUAACUCCGUGCCAGCAGCCGCGGUAAUACGGAGGGUGCAAGCGUUAAUCGGAAUUACUGGGCGUAAAGCGCACGCAGGCGGUCUGGCAAGUCGGAUGUGAAAUCCCCGGGCUCAAACUGGGAACUGCAUUCGAAACUGGCAGGCUAGAGUCUUGUAGAGGGGGGUAGAAUUCCAGGUGUAGCGGUGAAAUGCGUAGAGAUCUGGAGGAAUACCGGUGGGGAAGGCGGCCCCCCGGACAAAGACUGACUCACAGGUGCGAAAGCGGGGGGAGCAAGCAGG
Molecule: ribosomal RNA, 429 nt
Filed under: Chloroflexota bacterium
Lineage: Bacteria; Bacillati; Chloroflexota
Description: Chloroflexi bacterium partial 16S ribosomal RNA
Rfam family: Bacterial small subunit ribosomal RNA
Source: RNAcentral